This is a non-coding RNA of Prunus avium (sweet cherry), 1713 nucleotides long. The record is from RefSeq and is a predicted model, not a curated record. Lineage: Eukaryota; Viridiplantae; Streptophyta; Magnoliopsida; Rosales; Rosaceae.
AAUGACAGUCCUUUGUCCUCCAAUACAUUGAGCAAUACCAAACUCCGUUCCUUCUUCAUUUGUUCGAAAACCAGAGUAGUGAGGGAGAGAGUAAUGAGCUUCAUCGACUCCAUCGUCUUCUUCGCAUCAGUCAUCACCAGCCGCCAUCGACGCCAUCUUCCUCUCAACGGCUCUCUCUCGAUGGCUCUCUCUUGUCGGCGCUCUCUUUCUUGUUGUCUCUCUCUCUAGCUCGCUCUAUCUCUUGUAUUGUGCUUUCCUCUCUUUCCACUCUUCUUCUCUGUCUGUCUCCGUUCUUGGUGAUAUUUGAUGGGUUCAAUCUGCUAUGUCUCUCUCUUCCUCUCUUUCCACUCGCUCACUCAAGCUUAUUCUUAUGAAAUUAUGCUUUUUAUUGGUUUAUUUUUGUUAGAUUAUAAUUGGGUAUUUUUCUAGGGUUUUCUAUUUUGAAUUGUUUUUAUUAUGGGGUUUUUGUUUGGAAUGAUAAUAUAUAUAAACAAAUUGAUGGGUGGAAUUGGAGCCCUUGUUUAGCUGGUUGUCUAUUCAUAUAGAUUUUUUUUUUUCUGGGGUGCUUUGCUUUCAUACGAACUCGGGUCAAUCUCCUUUCUCAGUCUGAGGCUUUAAUUUCACAAACUGAGAUGAGAGAUGGUAUGUGGUUCGUGAAAUUCUUGAAGCAUGAGUUGAUGUAGGUGAUUGUUAAUGAGAUUUGUUUUAUUACUCAAGAAUUCUAAUCAUGAUGAAUCCAAUUGGAGUUUUUGGGGUUGUUAGUGGAGAAUUGAGGUUGUCAUCAAAAGAGAAGAUGAGGUUUUUAACUGGGAAACCUCAUCACUGGUUCUGGUUUCUUCAACCCAAUUGGUUGAUGGUUAACUUUUGCAAGCCACAUGUGUUUUCCUAGAUAUUGGGACAAUAACUUAGGUGUCACAUUCUGAUAGAGGGGUUUUGCUGAAAAAGGAAGAAGAAGAAAAGGUAGCUGAAGUGGCUGAAAAAUUGCAGAGCUAUUGUGUUAGUGAACCAGUGAAAUGCCCUCUUAUUUUCGGAGGUAAAAAACUAUUAAGGUGUGGACUUUAUUUCUGGAGAUGCAUAUUACAACCUAACUUUUGGGAUGAACUGAAAUAUCUUAUUUUCUGGCAUUGUGGCCAAAACUCAAAACUCCUAGUUCAAAAUUAGUCUUGACUUCAAAGUUCAAAGAAGUUAAAAGUGGAAGAACAAGCAUCCAUAUGACAUAUGAUUUUCAUCUUGAUCCAGGUGUUGAAAACAACAAUGGCAGUUACCACAACUGCCUUGGCAUUUGUUUUUUAACAUUAGCAUGAGCAAUUGUAUGGCCCUCUGUAACAUAGAUGAUACUCUGCUCAUUGUUGUUAAAAGCAUGGUAUGCAUUUAUCUGUUGUUGUUAUUGGUCAUAUGAUGACAUGAUUCAAGUUAUUGAAGCUUCUGACGUUGUUAAAGACAAAGUAUCCUUCUCUGCUUUUGGGUUCUUGGAUGGAGAAGUCUCUUUAACAGGAAAGUUGAAGGCUUUAGACGAUAAAUGGAUCCAAGUUCUAUUUGAGCCACCAGAACUGAAGGUUGGAGCGUUGGAGUUUUGAUAUGGUGGUGAAAGUGAGGUUAAACUCCAGAUCACAUACAUGGAUGACAAUGUGAGGUUGGGGAAGGGCUCUAGAGGUUAUCUUUUUGUUUUCUAAAGACGUGGUAAUCCCACUUGAAAUGGUUAUUGUGAGACAA